RNAcentral lists this long non-coding RNA (339 nucleotides) under Rosa chinensis. RNAcentral's name for it is "sRNA RchiOBHm_Chr7g0184321". The record is from RNAcentral. Lineage: Eukaryota; Viridiplantae; Streptophyta; Magnoliopsida; Rosales; Rosaceae.
CGCAUCAGUCUCGCCCGAUGACGCGCGCCUAUCCCACGUGGACAACACCCCCGAAACGCACCUAACCGCGGGCGUAGACUCUGCUCCGAAACGCGUAAAAUCAGCGCGUGGUAGAAUCGUAAAAUCAACGCGCUUUAGGGGGUCUUGUUGUUGUGCCCUAAUCGCCUGCUAGCGAGAUCUGCCUGUCUUAUCCUGAAGAACCAAUCAACUCCGCCCUCGUCUGAUAAAUCCGUAUAUCAACCAUGUCCCUCCUGCAACUCGGAUCGUCAGUCCGUUCAGAUUCGUCGUGUUCCGCUGUCUGACUCACGCCCUCCGGUACCCCGAUCCAACUCAGUAACC